AGACCACCCGCUGAAUUUAAGCAUAUUAAUAAGCGGAGGAAAAGAAACUAACCAGGAUUCCCUUAGUAACGCCGAGGUGAAAAAAA
RNAcentral lists this ribosomal RNA (86 nucleotides) under Vestalis beryllae. RNAcentral describes it as "28S ribosomal RNA". It matches the Rfam family "Eukaryotic large subunit ribosomal RNA", at positions 18 to 102 of the family's 3401-position model. The record is from RNAcentral. Lineage: Eukaryota; Metazoa; Arthropoda; Insecta; Odonata; Calopterygidae.